RNAcentral lists this ribosomal RNA (253 nucleotides) under uncultured bacterium. RNAcentral's name for it is "partial 16S ribosomal RNA". It matches the Rfam family "Bacterial small subunit ribosomal RNA", at positions 524 to 776 of the family's 1533-position model. The record is from RNAcentral.
UACGAAGGGUGCGAGCGUUGCUCGGAAUUAUUGGGCGUAAAGGGUAGGUAGGUGGUGAUAUUUGUCUGGGGUGAAAUCCCUGAGCUUAACUCAGGACGUGCCUUGGAAACGGUAUCACUAGAGUACUGGAGAGGCUCGCAGAAUUCCUGGUGUAGCGGUGAAAUGCGUAGAGAUCAGGAGGAAUAUCAGAGGCGAAGGCGGCGAACUGGACAGUUACUGACACUCAACUACGAAAGCGUGGGGAGCAAACAGG